GAAUUCCUAGUGUAGCGGUGAAAUGCGUAGAGAUUAGGAAGAACACCAGUGGCGAAGGCGAUUCUCUGGACUGUAACUGACGCUGAGGCACGAAAGCGUGGGUAGCAAACAGGAUUAGAUACCCUGGUAGUCCACGCCGUAAACGAUGAGUACUAGGUGUAGGAGGUAUCGACCCCUUCUGUGCCGCAGUAAACACAUUAAGUACUCCGCCUGGGAAGUACGAUCGCAAGAUUAAAACUCAAAGGAAUUGACGGGGGCCCGCACAAGCAGCGGAGCAUGUGGUUUAAUUCGAAGCAACGCGAAGAACCUUACCUGGACUUGACAUCCCCUGAAUAACCUAGAGAUAGGCGAAGCCCUUCGGGGCAGGGAGACAGGUGGUGCAUGGUUGUCGUCAGCUCGUGUCGUGAGAUGUUAGGUUAAGUCCUGCAACGAGCGCAACCCUUAUUGUUAGUUGCUAACAUUCAGUUGAGCACUCUAACGAGACUGCCGCGGUUAACGCGGAGGAAGGUGGGGAUGACGUCAAAUCAUCAUGCCCCUUAUGUCCGGGCUACAC
RNAcentral lists this ribosomal RNA (553 nucleotides) under Clostridium tyrobutyricum. RNAcentral's name for it is "bacterial SSU rRNA". It matches the Rfam family "Bacterial small subunit ribosomal RNA", at positions 664 to 1219 of the family's 1533-position model. Lineage: Bacteria; Bacillati; Bacillota; Clostridia; Eubacteriales; Clostridiaceae. The record is from RNAcentral.